GAUGAACGCUGGCGGCGUGCCUAAUACAUGCAAGUCGAACGAAACUUCUUUAUCACCGAGUGCUUGCACUCACCGAUAAAGAGUUGAGUGGCGAACGGGUGAGUAACACGUGGGCAACCUGCCCAAAAGAGGGGGAUAACACUUGGAAACAGGUGCUAAUACCGCAUAACCAUAGUUACCGCAUGUAACUAUGUAAAAGGUGGCUAUACUACCGCUUUUGGAUGGGCCCGCGGCGCAUUAGCUAGUUGGUAGGGUAAAGGCUUACCAAGGCAAUGAUGCGUAGCCGAAUUGAGAGGUUGAUCGGCCACAUUGGGACUGAGACACGGCCCAAACUCCUACGGGAGGCAGCAGUAGGGAAUCUUCCACAAUGGGCGAAAGCCUGAUGGAGCAACGCCGCGUGGGUGAAGAAGGUCUUCGGAUCGUAAAACCCUGUUGUUAGAGAAGAAAGUGCGUGAGAGUAACUGUUCACGUUUCGACGGUAUCUAACCAGAAAGCCACGGCUAACUACGUG
This 511-nucleotide ribosomal RNA is filed under the name uncultured bacterium. RNAcentral describes it as "partial 16S ribosomal RNA". It matches the Rfam family "Bacterial small subunit ribosomal RNA", at positions 28 to 507 of the family's 1533-position model. The record is from RNAcentral.